GACGAACGCUGGCGGCGUGCUUAACACAUGCAAGUCGAACGGAAAGGCCCUGCUUUUGUGGGGUGCUCGAGUGGCGAACGGGUGAGUAACACGUGAGUAACCUGCCCUUGACUUUGGGAUAACUUCAGGAAACUGGGGCUAAUACCGGAUAGUAGCUCCUGCUGCAUGGUGGGGGUUGGAAAGUUUCGGCGGUUGGGGAUGUACUCGCGGCUUAUCAGCUUGUUGGUGGGGUAGUGGCUUACCAAGGCUUUGACGGGUAGCCGGCCUGAGAGGGUGACCGGCCACAUUGGGACUGAGAUACGGCCCAGACUCCUACGGGAGGCAGAAGUGGGGAAUAUUGCACAAUGGGCGGAAGCCUGAUGCAGCAACGCCGCGUGCGGGAUGACGGCCUUCGGGUUGUAAACCGCUUUCGCCUGUGACGAAGCGUGAGUGACGGUAAUGGGUAAAGAAGCACCGGCUAACUACGUG
This 468-nucleotide ribosomal RNA is filed under the name uncultured bacterium. Its description in RNAcentral is "partial 16S ribosomal RNA". It matches the Rfam family "Bacterial small subunit ribosomal RNA", at positions 28 to 507 of the family's 1533-position model. The record is from RNAcentral.